GACGAACGCUGGCGGCGUGCUUAACACAUGCAAGUCGAACGGAAAGGCCCUGCUUUUGUGGGGUGCUCGAGUGGCGAACGGGUGAGUAACACGUGAGUAACCUGCCCUUGACUUUGGGAUAACUUCAGGAAACUGGGGCUAAUACCGGAUAGGAGCUCCUGCUGCAUGGUGGGGGUUGGAAAGUUUCGGCGGUUGGGGAUGGACUCGCGGCUUAUCAGCUUGUUGGUGGGGUAGUGGCUUACCAAGGCUUUGACGGGUAGCCGGCCUGAGAGGGUGACCGGCCACAGUGGGACUGAGAUACGGGCCAGACUCCUACGGGAGGCAGCAGUGGGGAAUAGUGCGCAAUGGGCGGAAGCCUGAUGCAGCGACGCCGCGUGCGGGAUGACGGCCUUCGGGUUGUAAACCGCUUUCGCCUGUGACGAAGCGUGAGUGACGGUAAUGGGUAAAGAAGCACCGGCUAACUACGUG
This 468-nucleotide ribosomal RNA is filed under the name uncultured bacterium. Its description in RNAcentral is "partial 16S ribosomal RNA". It matches the Rfam family "Bacterial small subunit ribosomal RNA", at positions 28 to 507 of the family's 1533-position model. The record is from RNAcentral.